GACGAACGCUGGCGGCGUGCUUAACACAUGCGAGUCGAACGGAAAGGCCUCUUUCGGGGGGUACUCGAGUGGCGAACGGGUGAGUAACACGUGAGUAACCUGCCCUUGACUUUGGGAUAACUUCAGGAAACUGGGGCUAAUACCGGAUAGGAGCUCCUGCUGCAUGGUGGGGGUUGGAAAGUUUCGGCGGUUGGGGAUGGACUCGCGGCUUAUCAGCUUGUUGGUGGGGUAGUGGCUUACCAAGGCUUUGACGGGUAGCCGGCCUGAGAGGGUGACCGGCCACAUUGGGACUGAGAUACGGCCCAGACUCCUACGGGAGACAGCAGUGGGGAAUAUUGCACAAUGGGUGGAAGCCUGAUGCAGCAACGCCGUGUGCGGGAUGACGGCCUUCGGGCUGUAAACCGCUUUCGCUCAUGACGAAGCUUUGUGUGACGGUAGUGGGUAAAGAAGCACCGGCUAACUACGUG
This 467-nucleotide ribosomal RNA is filed under the name uncultured bacterium. Its description in RNAcentral is "partial 16S ribosomal RNA". It matches the Rfam family "Bacterial small subunit ribosomal RNA", at positions 28 to 507 of the family's 1533-position model. The record is from RNAcentral.